RNAcentral lists this ribosomal RNA (582 nucleotides) under uncultured bacterium. Its description in RNAcentral is "bacterial SSU rRNA". It matches the Rfam family "Bacterial small subunit ribosomal RNA", at positions 102 to 694 of the family's 1533-position model. The record is from RNAcentral.
AAGGGAGAGGAAUAGGUGGGAAUCUGCCCCUGGACCGGGGAUAGCUACGGGAAACUGUAGGUAAUACCCGAUAACGUCGAAAGACCAAAGGUGUGAUUCCGUCUGAGGAUGAGCCCACCUCCUAUUAGCUUGUUGGCGGUGUAAAAGACCACCAAGGCAUUGAUGGGUAGCUGGUGUGAGAGCACGACCAGCCUCACUGGCACUGAGACACUGGCCAGACACCUACGGGUGGCUGCAGUCGAGAAUCUUCGGCAAUGGACGAAAGUCUGACCGAGCGACGCCGCGUGCGGGAUGAAGGCCUUCGGGUUGUAAACCGCUGUCGUAGGGGAUCAAAUGUAUGGGGGUUCUCCCCUGUAUUCGAGAGAUCCUAGGAGGAAGGAGAGGCUAAGCUCGUGCCAGCAGCCGCGGUAAGACGAGCUCUCCAAACGUUAUUCGGUAUUACUGGGCUUAAAGAGUUCGUAGGCGGUCGUGUAGGUGAGGUGUGAAAGCCCUCGGCUUAACCGAGGAACUGCGCUUCAAACCGCACGGCUUGAGGAAGGUAGGGGUACGUGGAACAGAUGGUGGAGCGGUGAAAUGCGUUGA